AUACUGAUGUGGUGACUUCUCUGCUAAACUGU
RNAcentral lists this non-coding RNA (32 nucleotides) under Rattus norvegicus (Norway rat). Lineage: Eukaryota; Metazoa; Chordata; Mammalia; Rodentia; Muridae. The record is from RNAcentral.